Talpa occidentalis (Iberian mole) is the source of this 522-nucleotide non-coding RNA. Lineage: Eukaryota; Metazoa; Chordata; Mammalia; Eulipotyphla; Talpidae. The record is from the annotation of a RefSeq genome assembly.
AUGGCUUGGACUGUGUUCCUCCUCACCCUCCUCACUCAGGCCACAGGUUCCUGGGCCCAGUCUGCUCUGACUCAGCCUUCCUCAGUGUCUGGGACUCUGGGACAGUCAGUCACUAUCUCCUGUGCUGGGACCAGCAAUGACAUUGGGGGUUAUAACCUUGUGUCCUGGUACCAGCGGCUCGCAGACUCACCAUACAAGCUUCUGAUUUAUGAUGUCAGUUCCCGGCCCUCAGGGAUCCCUGAUCGCUUCUCUCGCUCCAAAUCAGGCAACACGGCCACCUUGACCAUCUCUUGUCUCAAGCCUGAGGAUGAGGCUGAGUAUUACUGUGGCUCAUACAGAAGUGGUUUUGCUUACCACAGUGGUCCACGUGUCAGUGUGAUGGAGGACAAGAAUAGAAAGCCUGGAAUGGAGGCAUCCCAAGACGAGAACCUGACCUACAAGGAGGUGGGGGUAGAGGAAAAUAACAUGACCAUUAACCCAGCCAUAGAUGUCAGCCCCUCAGUCACCAGUGCCUUAUCCUAA